RNAcentral lists this ribosomal RNA (193 nucleotides) under uncultured bacterium. RNAcentral describes it as "partial 16S ribosomal RNA". It matches the Rfam family "Bacterial small subunit ribosomal RNA", at positions 1307 to 1500 of the family's 1533-position model. The record is from RNAcentral.
GCAACUCGCCUGCAUGAAGCUGGAAUUGCUAGUAAUUGCGGAUCAGCAAGCCGCGGUGAAUACGUUCCCGGGCCUUGUACACACCGCCCGUCACACCAUGAGAGUCGGGAACACCCGAAGUCCGUAGUCUAACCGCAAGGGGGCGCGGCCGAAGGUGGGUCCGGUAAUUGGGGUGAAGUCGUAACAAGGUAGC